Molecule: long non-coding RNA, 1149 nt
Organism: Ornithorhynchus anatinus (platypus)
Lineage: Eukaryota; Metazoa; Chordata; Mammalia; Monotremata; Ornithorhynchidae
Exons: 4
Source: RefSeq, a predicted model, not a curated record
CCCGACUCCCCAGCCCGGGCUCUUUCCACCGAGCCACGUUGCUUCCGAAACAUUAACGACGACGAUGGCGUCCGAACCCACGCGUGCGGAGCACGGUGGCUUAGCAGUCCAGGAGGGAACCGAGGCUCAGAGAGGUGAUGUGAUCAACUGGCGCUCACCGCCGAAGUAGGAGGAAGAACGGGAGAACUGAGGCCUGAAGACCUGAAGUGACUUUGCUACGGAAGGAGAGGACGCGAGGAGGAUGGCGGUGGAAGAGACGAGAAAACGGCACAGCAAAACGGCCUGGAGGAGACACAGAUCGCACGAUGGAACCAGAGGCCGGCCGAGUGGCGCGGGGCACGGAGGAGAGAGACCCCGUUCGGAGCGACGCAAGAGACCGAAGGAGGAGCCGGCCCAGCGGGAGGAAAAGAAAGCUACGGGCUCCCUCGUGGAUAGGGUGACCGGAUUCCUCCGAAAUAACUCUUCCUCCGCCCUAAACCCAGAGCCAGUGAGGCCCGCUCAAGGGGGGAGACUCACUCCCCGGUCCUCCCGAAGCAAGUUCCGUCUGCCCGCCGCCGGCGUGAGGUUCGUUCAAGAGGGGGAUGACUGACCUAUUGAGAUGAAUAAUCGCAAACGCGACCCACGUUGUCCCAUUCUACCGACGUCUUUGUCAGUCCUUGAAAUCCGAGUUGAAAAAUUAGGAUGAUAUCAUCCGGUCACCCUAUCCUGGAAAGAUUCGAUUUAGCCGAGAGGUUGCAAGCGGCUGAAACGAGCAAGGAGUGGCCUCUCAGACGGGCAGAACCGUCACCCAAGCCCAGAGUAGCGAUCGGAAAGAAUCAAGAGCAGCGCCCACCUACCGGAAGACAGUAAAUCAUUUCCCCUCAAAAAUAAUGAGCUCGGGUGCAGCUAAUCGAGCCUUCGCUUUGAUCCUUACCUAAAAAGGUAAUUUGCAGCCAACUGAAUUAUCUGUUGUGGGGUUCGGUCGGCUGCCUGGUUUCCCCUGGGAGAGUCCUCCCGGGAUUACGUUGGCCCAAGGAAUCCGCUUGGGGUAUCUGUUAACUGCUUCCUUUGGGCCGAACACUCGACUGAGCGCCGGGAUGGACACCGGUUAAUCAGGUCGGGCACGGGUCCUGUCCCACGUGGGCUCAGAGCCCAGGUGGGAGGGGGAAG